This 1270-nucleotide long non-coding RNA is filed under the name Homo sapiens (human). RNAcentral's name for it is "HSALNT0013213". Lineage: Eukaryota; Metazoa; Chordata; Mammalia; Primates; Hominidae. The record is from RNAcentral.
GAAAAUGGAAGAAGGAUGCUUGGCAGAAGGCAGGAGCAGAGGGUCACUCUAGUGACUUGGAAGAAGUGUUGGAGAGAGCUCUUGCAUGGUGGUAGAACCGAGGACAGCCUAGACCUUCUGAUUGUCAACUCCUUGUUCCAUUGUGUCCAAACCUACAUGUCUGAACUCCUCUCAUCAAAGACUUCUCAAAGUUAUUAAUAACUGGGGAUCACGUAUUCAGUAAUUACACACAUCAGGCUCCAUGCUUUCUGUGCAGUAUGUAAAUUGAUUCAUUGUCAUACUAAUUAUAAAUGGCUAGUAUUAUUGCUGCUUUACAAAUGAGGCAUAUGACACACAGGGAGCUAAAUAAUUUGCCUAAGGUCACCCCACUUGUAAAUGAUGAAGCCAGGACUCAAGGCCAGGUCUGGCCACCCCUGAAUUUAAUAGCUUUAUCCUCUAUAUCUCUGUUUUCUCCCAGACCAAGGUGUCUGUACCUCUCUGCCAACAGAGAAAAGGGUUCAUUCAUUCAUCAAAUGUUUGUUGAGCAUCUAUUGUGACUCAGGCAAUAUCCUAGAUCAAGGAUUGUCAAACUUUUUCUAUAAAGGACAAGAGAGCAAACAUUUUAGGUCUCCUGGGUCAUACGGUCAGUCACUGUGAUUCAACUCUGCUGUUGUAGUACAAGAUUGUGAAAGCAGCCAUAGAUGAUAUGUCAAUGAAUGAGCAUGGUUGUGUUCCAAUAAAAUGUCACUUGCGAAAGCAGGCUGUGGGCUGGGUUUGGGCCAAGAGUUCUAUCCCUGCUCUAGGCACUGGAGUUACAAUAGCAAAAAAUUAAAAUAAAGUAAAAUAAAAACACAAAAAUGCCUGCCUUUGUGGUGCUUCCAUUCCAGAAUGGGGAAGUAAUUGUAUUUCUGUCCCGUUUAUCAUGUAAAAAUUGUCAUAGGAUCUUGGAGUUGCUGAGCACCUAGAGGUGAUCUGUUCAGCAUUUUCCUCCCAGGGCAGCUCUCCACUCAGAACUCUCUUGGCUGGUGAGGGUUCAUUCUGUGUGCCCGGAUCUAGUGUCACCUCACCUUCCAGGGGACCCAUCCUUGUCACAUAGUCCUUGCUUAUCUGUCUUCCUGACAAUUUAACUCACAUCCUACCCUGUUUGGGCAGAGGGCCCCACAUUUUAGCAUAUCAUAAUCACUUUUGGGGCUUGAAACACUUUGAUGGGCUCCACUCUCGAGAUUCUGAUUCAAUAGGUCUGGAGUGAGGCCCAAGAUUUUCCCUUUCUGACAAAUUCCCAGGUAAUUCC